Molecule: transfer RNA, 76 nt
Filed under: compost metagenome
Description: tRNA-Phe
Rfam family: tRNA
About the family: Transfer RNA (tRNA) molecules are approximately 80 nucleotides in length. Their secondary structure includes four short double-helical elements and three loops (D, anti-codon, and T loops).
Source: RNAcentral
GCAUUCUAAGCUGACUCGGUAGUAGCGGUUGCCUGAAAAGCAACAGGACUUGGUUCGACUCCAAGAGAUUGCGCCA